Molecule: long non-coding RNA, 327 nt
Organism: Lolium perenne
Lineage: Eukaryota; Viridiplantae; Streptophyta; Magnoliopsida; Poales; Poaceae
Source: RefSeq, a predicted model, not a curated record
UUAUAUUUGACCCAAAACAAAUAAAAAGUUUAAGCUCUGAGAUGUGUUUAGGGUUUAGAGGAUUGGUGGAAACUUGCAUCCUACCUUGUGAGUGUCUGUCGUGUGUGCGCCGACACACAUUGAUUCACAGCUGACCUACAAUGAUCUGCUAUUUUUCCCAGUUCCAUGUAAGACUAAGACAGUCACUGUUCCCGUGCAGUUAAUUGAUUUUUUUUUUGAAUCAAGUGUUGUACUACUUGUAUUCAGGACACAAGACCUAUUAUAUGAUGGAGUUCUAUAUGUAAGAAUAGAGGCAGAAAAUAAAUAUACAGGGUUUUUUAUGAUCAA